GACGAACGCUGGCGGUGUGCUUAACACAUGCAAGUCGAACGGAAAGACCCUGCUUUUGUGGGCUGCUCGAGUGGCGAACGCGUGAGUAACACGUGAGUAACCUGCCCUUCACUUUGGGAUGACUUCACGAAACUGGGGUUAAUACCAGACAGCAUCUCCUGCUGCGUUGUAGGCGUUGGAAAGUUUCGGCGGUUGGGGAUGGACUCGCGGCUUAUCAGCUUGUUGGUGGGGUAGUGGUUUACCAAGGCUUUGACGGGUAGCCGGCCUGAGAGGGUGACCGGCCACAAUGGGACUGAGAUACGGACCAGACUCCUACGUGAGGCAGUAGUGGGGAAUCUUACACAAUGGGCGGAAGCGUGAUGCAGCAACGCCGCGUGCGGGAUGACGGCCUUCUGGUUGUAAACCGCUUUCGCCUGUGACGCAGCGUUAGUGACGGUAAUGGAUAAAGAAGCACCGGCUAACUACGUG
This 468-nucleotide ribosomal RNA is filed under the name uncultured bacterium. RNAcentral's name for it is "partial 16S ribosomal RNA". It matches the Rfam family "Bacterial small subunit ribosomal RNA", at positions 28 to 507 of the family's 1533-position model. The record is from RNAcentral.